AUGGGGGGGGAGGGGGGGAGGGGCAGGGGGGCGGUGGGGGGGGGGGGCAGGGCGGGGAGGAAGAGGAAGGAGACGGCGGCGGUGCGGAGGGGGGCGGGGGGCGCGGAGCCCCCCAACAUCUGCGUGGAGUGCGGGCAGAGCUUCGAGCGCAGCGCGGCGCUGGCCCGGCACCGCAGUGACCACCGGAGUGACCAACGGAGUGACCGCAGGAGUGACCGCAGCACUGACCACCGGAGUGACCAACGGAGUGACCACAGCACUGACCACAGCACUGACCACCGGAGUGACCACAGCACUGACCACAGCACUGACCACAGCACUGACCACAGCACUGACCACCGGAGUGACCACCGGAGUGACCACAGCACUGACCACAGCACUGACCACCGGAGUGACCAACGGAGUGACCACCGGAGUGACCAACGGAGUGACCGCAGCACUGACCACCGGAGUGACCAACGGAGUGACCACAGCACUGACCACCCGAGUGACCACAGCACUGACCACCGGAGUGACCACAGCACUGACCAACGGAGUGACCAACGGAGUGACCAACGGAGUGACCGCAGCACUGACCACCGGAGUGACCACCGGAGUGACCGCAGCACUGACCGCAGCACUGACCGCAGCACUGACCACAGCACUGACCGCCCGAGUGACCACCGGAGUGACCACAGUGACCAACAGAGUGACCACGGCACUGACCAUGGCUCUGGACACGGCACUGACCAAGGCAGCGGUCAGCCCGGCUGCUACGGACAGACGGACAUUGGUCACGGUCAGCAGGGCGGCUCAGGACACAGCAGUGACCACAGACUGAGCACUGACCACAGCUCUGGAAACAGGAGUGACCGUGGCAGCGGUCAGUGCAGCGGCUCCAGACAGCCAGACCAUGGCCGUGGUCAGCGGGCUUGUGGCCGUGGUCAGCGAGGCAGCUCUGGACAGAGGAAGCUCAGUGGAAAUGGCCAAAGAGGCAACAGCGGUCAGCGGGGCGGCUCCGGCCAGCUGGACAUCGAUGGGAAUGGCCGGAGGGUCAGCCAUGGCAGCGGUCAGCAGGACCAUGGCAGUGGUCAGCGGGAGCACAGCGAUGGUCAGUGGGGCGGCUCCGGCCAGCCGGACAUUGACAAUGAUGACCAACAGCCCACACCCAGCGGCGCCAGCGGCCUGGCAGAUGACCGCCCUGAUGACCGCCCAGAUGACCACCCCACAUCCCACCACCCCAGCACUGCCCCCUCCGCUGACCACUGCCCACUGACCUGUCCGGACUGCGGCCAAACCUUCUCCCAGAGCUCCCACCUGCAGCGUCACCGCCGCGGCCACACCGCGCUGACCACAGCCUGCGGUCACUCCCACACCGCGCUGACCGGAUACCUGCGGUCACUCCCACACCGCACUGACCGACACCUGCGGUCACUCUCCGGCCACGCCGCGGCCCCGCGCGCGCCUGGACGGCCGGAGGAGCCCCAAGGGGCAGCGCAGGGGCGGCCGAGCGCGGCCCAAAUCCGCUCUGGGCAUCCCCAACACGUGCGGGGAGUGCUGGCAGAGCUUCGGCCAGAGCUCGGACCUGGUCAAGCACCUGCGCAUCCACACGGGCGAGCGGCCGUACGCCUGCGGCCACUGCGGCAAGCGCUUCAACGUCAGCUCCAACCUGAGCCGGCACCGGCGCAUCCACACCGGCGAGCGCCCGUACGGCUGCGCCGACUGCGGCAAGAGCUUCACCGACCGCUCCACGCUGAGCCAGCACCGGCGCAGCCACACCGGCGAGCGCCCGUACGGCUGCGGGCUCUGCGGCAAGAGCUUCAGCCGCAGCUCGCACCACCGGCGCCACCAGCGCACCCACGCCAGGGACGCCGCCGCUGCGGCUGGGGCGGCGCCGCAGAUCUGGGGGUACCCGAGCCAGGCUUCUUGAGCAGCGUUCUGAUGGUUGGAGUAAGGAAAAAUUAAAGAAAAUCUGGAAUAAUGAGUGGGUUUUUUUGGUGUUUGGUGGUUGUAAUUGCAGUGUCUUGAUGCCAGCCCAAGUCCCAAUCCCAAGUCCCAAUCCCAGUCCCAGUCUUGGUCCCGGUCCCAUCAUCUUGAUCCCUGUCCAAGUCCCAGUCCUGAUCCUGGUCCCAGUCUUGGUCUCAGACCCAUCAUCUUGAUCCCAGCCCCAAUCCCAAUCCCAGCCCCAAUCCCAGCCCCAAUCCCAAUCCCAGCCCCAAUCCCAAUCCCAGCCCCAAUCCCAGUCCCAUUCUCACCAUCCCACCCCAGCACCCACGCCGGGAGCGCCGCUGGGGCUGGGGCGGCGCCGCAGAUCUGGGGGUACCCGAGCCAGGCUUCUUGAGUUGGAAAAAUUAAAGAAAAUUUGGAAUAAUUGGGGAUUUUUUUGAGUUUUUUUUGGUGUUUUUUGGGGUGGUAGGUUUGGGGUUUUGGGGGUUGGUUUGGGUUUUGGUCGCGGUUCCAGUGUCUUGAUCCCAGCCCCAAUCUUGGUACCAGACCCAUCAUCUUGAUCCCAAUCCCAGUUCUGAUCUUGGUCCCCAUCCCAGUCCUGAUCCCAGUCCCAUCCCAGUCCCAAAU
This is a long non-coding RNA of Camarhynchus parvulus, 2553 nucleotides long. The record is from Ensembl. NCBI's taxonomy places the organism in Eukaryota, Metazoa, Chordata, Aves, Passeriformes, Thraupidae.